CCCUUAGAUGUCCUGGGCUGCACGCUCGCUACACUGACACAUGCAACGAGUCUACAACCUUGGCUGGAAGGCCUGGGUAAUCUGUGAACGUGUGUCGUGAUAGGGAUAGAUUAUUGCAAUUAUUAAUCUUGAACGAGGAAUUCCUAGUAAACGCAAGUCAUCAGCUUGCAUUGAUUACGUCCCUGCCCUUUGUACACACCGCCCGUCGCACCUACCGAUUGAGUGAUCCGGUGAAUAAUUCGGACUGCGGCAUUGACCGGUUCCCGAUCGUUGCUGCGGAAAGUUUAGUGAACCUUAUCACUUAGAGGAAGGAGAAGUCGUAACA
This 325-nucleotide ribosomal RNA is filed under the name uncultured eukaryote. Its description in RNAcentral is "partial 18S ribosomal RNA". It matches the Rfam family "Eukaryotic small subunit ribosomal RNA", at positions 1470 to 1796 of the family's 1831-position model. The record is from RNAcentral.